CUUCUUACCUGGGAGGGAAGGCUGAGAUCAGUAAUGUAGCCUUCCUGGGUAAGAAGAUUAUUUAAACUCCAGGUGUGCUGCUUCUGGGGAUUCACCUGAAUGUGGAGAAGCUGACUGUAUAACUUGUAGUGAAAACUGAAUUCACACCUUUGAA
RNAcentral lists this small nuclear RNA (154 nucleotides) under Lonchura striata (white-rumped munia). Its description in RNAcentral is "domestica (Bengalese finch) U1 spliceosomal RNA (ENSLSDG00000006703.1)". Lineage: Eukaryota; Metazoa; Chordata; Aves; Passeriformes; Estrildidae. The record is from RNAcentral.